UAAUACAUGCAAGUUGAAACGAAGUAAAUUGGGAUAAGUUUUAUUUAAUUAAAUGACUUAAUGGCGAACGGGUGGAGUAAUACAUAAAUAACCUGCCCCGAUUUCUGGAAUAACAGUUGGAAACGAUUGCUAAUGCCGGAUAUGAUAUUUGGAAGCAUUUCCUAAUAUUGAAAGAUGGGAUACAUCGCAACGGGAUGGAUUUAUGGCGCAUUAGUUAGUUGGUGAGGUAACGGCUCACCAAGACGAUGAUGCGUAGCCGGCCUGAGAGGGUGACCGGCCACACUGGGACUGAGACACGGCCCAGACUCCUACGGGAGGCAGCAGUAGGGAAUUUUCGGCAAUGGGGGCAACCCUGACCGAGCGACGCCGCGUGAGUGAAGAAGGCCUUCGGGUUGUAAAGCUCUGUUGUAAGGGAAGAACUGUACGGAUAGGGAAUGAUCUGUACUUGACGGUACCUUACCAGCAAGCCACGGCUAACUACGUGCCAGCAGCCGCGGUAAUACGUAGGUGGCAAGCGUUAUCCGGAAUUAUUGGGCGUAAAGGGAGCGCAGGCGGCUUAUUAAGUCUAAGGUUAAAGUUCGGGGCUCAACCCCGUGAUGCCUUAGAAACUGGUAGGCUAGAGUGCAGGAGAGGUGAGUGGAAUUCCAUGUGCAGCGGUAAAAUGCGUAGAUAUAUGGAGGAACACCAGUGGCGAAGGCGGCUCACUGGCCUGUAACUGACGCUGAGGCUCGAAAGCGUGGGGAGCAAAUAGGAUUAGAUACCCUAGUAGUCCACGCCGUAAACGAUGGAUACUAAGUGUUGGGAUAGAAUCUCAGUGCUGUAGUAACGCAAUAA
Molecule: ribosomal RNA, 834 nt
Filed under: uncultured bacterium
Lineage: Bacteria
Description: bacterial SSU rRNA
Rfam family: Bacterial small subunit ribosomal RNA
Source: RNAcentral